CCUACGGGUGGCAGCAGUGAGGAAUAUUGGUCAAUGGGCGCGAGCCUGAACCAGCCAAGUAGCGUGAAGGAUGACUGCCCUACGGGUUGUAAACUUCUUUUAUAAAGGAAUAAAGUGAGGCACGUGUGCCUUUUUGUAUGUAUUUUAUGAAUAAGGAUCGGCUAACUCCGUGCCAGCAGCCGCGGUAAUACGGAGGAUCCGAGCGUUAUCCGGAUUUAUUGGGUUUAAAGGGAGCGUAGAUGGGUUGUUAAGUCAGUUGUGAAAGUUUGCGGCUCAACCGUAAAAUUGCAAUUGAUACUGGCAGCCUUGAGUACAGUUGAGGUAGGUGGAAUUCGUGGUGUAGCGGUGAAAUGCGUAGAUAUCAGGAGGAACACCGGUGGCGAAGGCGGCCUGCUGGACUGCAACUGACGUUGAGGCCCGAAAGCGUGGGGAGCAAACAGGAUUAGAUACCCCGGUAGUC
Molecule: ribosomal RNA, 460 nt
Filed under: uncultured bacterium
Lineage: Bacteria
Description: partial 16S ribosomal RNA
Rfam family: Bacterial small subunit ribosomal RNA
Source: RNAcentral